AGUGCUUGAACACAUGCACCAUGCAACCCCCACCACGGAGUCUGCGCUUCUUGGAUGCUCACUCCAUGAGGUGAGGUAACAAUUAAAAGCUUUUCUGUACUAUGAGAACAAAACCCCCCAAACACCAAUGCAAUGGCAGAAAGUUGGGAGUCAAAUCAGGCAGCACACACACGAACACUUUGUUCACAUGAUGAGGACCACAUUUUUGAGACAUUUUCUGAAA
This 223-nucleotide long non-coding RNA is filed under the name Pan troglodytes (chimpanzee). RNAcentral's name for it is "long non-coding RNA NONPTRT001723". The record is from RNAcentral. Lineage: Eukaryota; Metazoa; Chordata; Mammalia; Primates; Hominidae.